UACAGAGGGGGCAAGCGUUGUUCGGAAUUACUGGGCGUAAAGGGCGCGUAGGCGGCCUGUUAAGUCGAACGUGAAAUCCCCGGGCUCAACCCGGGAACUGCGUCCGAUACUGGCAGGCUUGAAUCCGGGAGAGGGAUGCGGAAUUCCAGGUGUAGCGGUGAAAUGCGUAGAUAUCUGGAGGAACACCGGUGGCGAAGGCGGCACUCG
This 207-nucleotide ribosomal RNA is filed under the name uncultured bacterium. RNAcentral describes it as "partial 16S ribosomal RNA". It matches the Rfam family "Bacterial small subunit ribosomal RNA", at positions 524 to 730 of the family's 1533-position model. The record is from RNAcentral.